RNAcentral lists this ribosomal RNA (426 nucleotides) under Streptococcus gordonii. RNAcentral's name for it is "bacterial SSU rRNA". It matches the Rfam family "Bacterial small subunit ribosomal RNA", at positions 28 to 435 of the family's 1533-position model. The record is from RNAcentral. Lineage: Bacteria; Bacillati; Bacillota; Bacilli; Lactobacillales; Streptococcaceae.
GACGAACGCUGGCGGCGUGCCUAAUACAUGCAAGUAGAACGCACAGUUUAUACCGUAGCUUGCUACACCAUAGACUGUGAGUUGCGAACGGGUGAGUAACGCGUAGGUAACCUGCCUGGUAGCGGGGGAUAACUAUUGGAAACGAUAGCUAAUACCGCAUAAUAUUAAUUAUUGCAUGAUAAUUAAUUGAAAGGUGCAAUUGCACCACUACCAGAUGGACCUGCGUUGUAUUAGCUAGUAGGUGAGGUAACGGCUCACCUAGGCGACGAUACAUAGCCGACCUGAGAGGGUGAUCGGCCACACUGGGACUGAGACACGGCCCAGACUCCUACGGGAGGCAGCAGUAGGGAAUCUUCGGCAAUGGACGAAAGUCUGACCGAGCAACGCCGCGUGAGUGAAGAAGGUUUUCGGAUCGUAAAAGCUCUG